Molecule: ribosomal RNA, 460 nt
Filed under: uncultured bacterium
Lineage: Bacteria
Description: partial 16S ribosomal RNA
Rfam family: Bacterial small subunit ribosomal RNA
Source: RNAcentral
CCUACGGGGUGCAGCAGUGAGGAAUAUUGGUCAAUGGACGAGAGUCUGAACCAGCCAAGUAGCGUGAAGGAUGACAGCCCUAUGGGUUGUAAACUUCUUUUAUAAAGGAAUAAAACGAGGCCCGUGUGCCUGUUUGCAUGUACUUUAUGAAUAAGGAACGGCUAACUCCGUGCCAGCAGCCGCGGUAAUACGGAGGAUCCGAGCGUUAUCCGGAUUUAUUGGGUGUAAAGGGAGCGUAGAUGGGUUGGUAAGUCUGUUGUGAAAGUUUGCGGCUCAACCGUAAAAUUGCAAUGGAUACUGGCAGUCUUGAGUACAGUUGAGGUAGGCGGAAUUCGUGGUGUAGCGGUGAAAUGCUUAGAUAUCACGAAGAACCCCGAUGGCGAAGGCAGCUUACUAAACUGUGACUGACAUUGAUGCUCGAAAGUGUGGGUAGCAAACAGGAUUAGAUACCCGAGUAGUC